This 497-nucleotide ribosomal RNA is filed under the name uncultured bacterium. Its description in RNAcentral is "partial 16S ribosomal RNA". It matches the Rfam family "Bacterial small subunit ribosomal RNA", at positions 28 to 507 of the family's 1533-position model. The record is from RNAcentral.
GAUGAACGCUGGCGGCGUGCCUAAUACAUGCAAGUAGAACGCUGAAGGAAGGAGCUUGCUCUUUCCGGAUGAGUUGCGAACGGGUGUGUAACGCGUAGGUAACCUGCCUGGUAGCGGGGGAUAACUAUUGGAAACGAUAGCUAAUACCGCAUAACAGUAGAUGUUGCAUGAUAUCUACUUAAAAGGUGCAAUUGCACCACUACCAGAUGGACCUGCGUUGUAUUAGCUAGUUGGUGAGGUAACGGCUCACCAAGGCGACGAUACAUAGCCGACCUGAGAGGGUGAUCGGCCACACUGGGACUGAGACACGGCCCAGACUCCUACGGGAGGCAGCAGUAGGGAAUCUUCGGCAAUGGACGGAAGUCUGACCGAGCAACGCCGCGUGAGUGAAGAAGGUUUUCGGAUCGUAAAGCUCUGUUGUAAGAGAAGAACGAGUGUGAGAGUGGAAAGUUCACACUGUGACGGUAUCUUACCAGAAAGGGACGGCUAACUACGUG